RNAcentral lists this ribosomal RNA (437 nucleotides) under uncultured Oscillospiraceae bacterium. RNAcentral's name for it is "bacterial SSU rRNA". It matches the Rfam family "Bacterial small subunit ribosomal RNA", at positions 341 to 792 of the family's 1533-position model. The record is from RNAcentral. Lineage: Bacteria; Bacillati; Bacillota; Clostridia; Eubacteriales; Oscillospiraceae.
ACGGAAGGCAGCAGUGGGGAAUAUUGGGCAAUGGGCGCAAGCCUGACCCAGCGACGCCGCGUGAAGGAAGAAGGUCUUCGGAUUGUAAACUUCUUUUAUGUGGGACGAAGAAAAUGACGGUACCACAUGAAUAAGCUCCGGCUAACUACGUGCCAGCAGCCACGGUAAUACGUAGGGAGCAAGCGUUAUCCGGAUUUACUGGGUGUAAAGGGCGUGUAGGCGGGACUACAAGUCAGAUGUGAAAGCACGAGGCUCAACUUCGUGUCUGCAUUUGAAACUGUAGUUCUUGAGUGUUGGAGAGGCUAACGGAACUCCUAGUGUAGCGGUGAAAUGCGUAGAUAUUAGGAAGAACACCAGUGGCGAAGGCGGUUAGCUGGACAAUAACUGACGCUGAGGCGCGAAAGCGUGGGUAGCAAACAGGAUUAGAUACCCUGGUA